This 101-nucleotide ribosomal RNA is filed under the name uncultured bacterium. RNAcentral's name for it is "partial 16S ribosomal RNA". The record is from RNAcentral.
CCUUCGGGUUGUAAAGCUCUUUCGGCCGGGACGAAAUCGCUCUCGCUAAUAUCGGGAGUGGAUGACGGUACCGGAAUAAGAAGCACCGGCUAACUACGUGC